This 115-nucleotide non-coding RNA is filed under the name unclassified sequences. The record is from RNAcentral.
CCUUUCCAAGGGUCGCCACCUUGACGUGGUGGAAAGGCUUGUGUUCCAGUGAUCCCAAGAGCAUGUUAAUCUAGUUGGCUAUGCUUUUUGGGUGAGGUACAAAACUAAGAGCGAC